GCCGAACUCUUUCUUCGUGCUUAACACAUGCAAGUCGAACGGAAAGGCCCUGCUUUUGUGGGGUGCUCGAGUGGCGAACGGGUGAGUAACACGUGAGUAACCUGCCCUUGACUUUGGGAUAACUUCAGGAAACUGGGGCUAAUACCGGAUAGGAGCUCCUGCUGCAUGGUGGGGGUUGGAAAGUUUCGGCGGUUGGGGAUGGACUCGCGGCUUAUCAGCUUGUUGGUGGGGUAGUGGCUUACCAAGGCUUUGACGGGUAGCCGGCCUGAGAGGGUGACCGGCCACAUUGGGACUGAGAUACGGCCCAGACUCCUACGGGAGGCAGCAGUGGGGAAUAUUGCACAAUGGGCGGAAGCCUGAUGCAGCAACGCCGCGUGCGGGAUGACGGCCUUCGGGUUGUAAACCGCUUUCGCCUGUGACGAAGCGUGAGUGACGGUAAUGGGUAAAGAAGCACCGGCUAACUACGUG
This 468-nucleotide ribosomal RNA is filed under the name uncultured bacterium. RNAcentral's name for it is "partial 16S ribosomal RNA". It matches the Rfam family "Bacterial small subunit ribosomal RNA", at positions 28 to 507 of the family's 1533-position model. The record is from RNAcentral.